GACGAACGCUGGCGGCGUGCUUAACACAUGCAAGUCGAACGGAAAGGCCCUGCUUUUGUGGGGUGCUCGAGUGGCGAACGGGUGAGUAACACGUGAGUAACCUGCCCUUGACUUUGGGAUAACUUCAGGAAACUGGGGCUAAUACCGGAUAGGAGCUCCUGCUGCAUGGUGGGGGUUGGAAAGUUUCGGCGGUUGGGGAUGGACUCGCGGCUUAUCAGCUUGUUGGUGGGGUAGUGGCUUACCAAGGCUUUGACGGGUAGCCGGCCUGAGAGGGUGACCGGCCACAUCGGGACUGAGAUACGGCCCAGACUCCUACGGGAGGCAGCAGUGGGGAAUAUUGCACAAUGGGCGGAAGCCUGAUGCAGCAACGCCGCGUGCGGGAUGACGGCCUUCGGGUUGUAAACCGCUUUCGCCUGUGACGAAGCGUGAGUGACGGUAAUAGGUAAAGAAGCACCGGCUAACUACGUG
Molecule: ribosomal RNA, 468 nt
Filed under: uncultured bacterium
Lineage: Bacteria
Description: partial 16S ribosomal RNA
Rfam family: Bacterial small subunit ribosomal RNA
Source: RNAcentral